RNAcentral lists this ribosomal RNA (795 nucleotides) under uncultured bacterium. RNAcentral's name for it is "bacterial SSU rRNA". The stretch from base 1 to 696 matches the Rfam family "Bacterial small subunit ribosomal RNA", at positions 820 to 1533 of the family's 1533-position model. The record is from RNAcentral.
GUGUCGGAGAGGUAAACUNUUCGGUGCCGCAAGCUAACGCAUUAAGUAUUCCACNUGGGGAGUACGUUCGCAAGAAUGAAACUCAAAGGAAUUGACGGGGACCCGCACAAGCGGUGGAGCAUGUGGUUUAAUUNGAAGCAACGCGAAGAACCUUACCAAAUCUUGACAUACUCUUGAAUAGCCUUGUAAUGAGACUAGUCUUUCGGGACAAGGGAUACAGGUGGUGCAUGGUUGUCGUCAGCUCGUGUCGUGAGAUGUUGGGUUAAGUCCCGCAACGAGCGCAACCCUUGUCGUCAGUAGCCAGCAGUAAGAUGGGCACUCUGACGAGACAGCCGGAGAUAAUCCGAAGGAAGGUGGGGAUGACGUCAAAUCAUCAUGCCCCUUAUGAUUUGGGCUACACACGUGCUACAAUGGCGUAAACAAAGUGAAGCAAAGCUGCGAAGCCAAGCAAAUCACAAAAAUAACGUCUCAGUUCGGAUUGUAGUCUGCAACUCGACUAUAUGAAGCUGGAAUCGCUAGUAAUCGCAGAUCAGAAUGCUGCGGUGAAUACGUUCCCGGGUCUUGUACACACCGCCCGUCACACCAUGGGAGUCAUCAAUGCCCGAAGUCAGUGACCUAACCCACACUGGUAAACAUAAAGCUGUGAUUGCUUUUUUACUUGGCGAAAGCGAGCCGAAGGCGAAGCUUAAGUCUUAGUAAAAAAAAAGUAGUUCUUCAUACGAACAAAGAGAGUAUGAUAGAACGUACUUAGAGAUUAUAGCAGUAAGUUGUGUUUAGCAGUGUGGGAAGGAGCUG